UCGCUACUUUAAGAGACGAUCUAGCUACAGGAAGAAACAGAAAACACUACACAGAGACAACACAGCAACAACCUGGAUUUGUGGCCGGUAAAAACAGAUUUAAACCGGCAAAGAAUCAGAUGGGGACACAGGUUGGACUCAGAGCACAAAACGAGUACAAGUAGACAUUAUUAUUCGAAAUGCUAUUAACCGGCACACGUCUUUUAAAAACUUUCUACAAACAUCUCAGCUGUCCUUUUUCGUAGCAAUAUAGAUGCACCUUUAGUCUAAAAGCUCAGCAAGUUUGGACAGUUUAAGUUCCCUGCUUCUUGCAAUAGCCAUUAUUAUAAGUGCUCGGUUGCGCGAUCAAUAAUCGUUAAUUAAUUUAAUUUUAACCCUUUAAAACUGGUAUUAGGGUUUCCAAUGAAAAAAUGAUGGUUCUCAGAUUUGACUUUAUUACCACUAGAUCUUUUGCUUGGCCUUGUAUGAAGCCAAAUCUUUAUUUAAAAAUUUUUUCGUUGCUCUGGUAAAGAGAAAUAUCAAUUUUCACAUAUUAUUACUCCAGUAGCCGCCAUUUUGAAGCUCCACCCAACAACGUGUAGCUCUAGCUCUUGCUCGAGUUCUUGCUCCAUAAAGUCGCCUCUGCUGGUCUUAACAUCUAAUCAGAAGUAGCUAGAUCUAUUCAGGAUAUUAUCAGAGUUAAUUAUUACAGGAUACUAGUUUUUAGACAUUUAUUAACAUGGCAGCAAGUAAUUCUUCAGAAAAACUAGAAGUUAGAAUUGAAAAAUUAGAACUGAAGUACGCAGCUGAGAUAAUAAAGCUUAGAAAGGAAUUCAUUGAAAUGAAAGUGAUUCUUGAUGCCCAAAGGGAAUUUGAUAACACACGCAUCAUUUUGAUGGACAUUACUGAGAAACUAAAUACAAAAAAAAUUCUGAUUUUAUUAUUAAUUUGU
Long non-coding RNA from Amphimedon queenslandica, 931 nucleotides. RefSeq lists it as uncharacterized. NCBI's taxonomy places the organism in Eukaryota, Metazoa, Porifera, Demospongiae, Haplosclerida, Niphatidae. The record is from RefSeq and is a predicted model, not a curated record. The transcript is spliced from 3 exons.